RNAcentral lists this ribosomal RNA (112 nucleotides) under Bacillus anthracis (anthrax bacterium). RNAcentral describes it as "partial 16S ribosomal RNA". It matches the Rfam family "Bacterial small subunit ribosomal RNA", at positions 1423 to 1533 of the family's 1533-position model. Lineage: Bacteria; Bacillati; Bacillota; Bacilli; Caryophanales; Bacillaceae. RNAcentral also lists the same sequence under 11 other names. The record is from RNAcentral.
GAAGUCGGUGGGGUAACCUUUUUGGAGCCAGCCGCCUAAGGUGGGACAGAUGAUUGGGGUGAAGUCGUAACAAGGUAGCCGUAUCGGAAGGUGCGGCUGGAUCACCUCCUUU